UUCAAUGAUGGAGUGUGUUCUUUACCC
RNAcentral lists this non-coding RNA (27 nucleotides) under Mus musculus (house mouse). The record is from RNAcentral. Lineage: Eukaryota; Metazoa; Chordata; Mammalia; Rodentia; Muridae.